GGAUGGUUGACUGAGUGGUUUAAAGUGUGAUAUUUGAG
RNAcentral lists this transfer RNA (38 nucleotides) under Saccharomyces cerevisiae (brewer's yeast). RNAcentral's name for it is "partial transfer RNA". The record is from RNAcentral. Lineage: Eukaryota; Fungi; Ascomycota; Saccharomycetes; Saccharomycetales; Saccharomycetaceae.